GUGGGGAGGUGGUGAGUGGUGAGUGGUGAGUGUAGGGAGGUGGUGAGUGUAGGGAUGUGGUGAGUGUAGGGAGGUGGUGAGUGGUGAGUGUAGGGAGGCGGUGAGUGUAGGGAGGUGGUGAGUGUAGGGAGGUGGUGAGUGUAGGGAGGUGGUCAAUGUAGGGAGGUGGUGAGUGGUGAGUGUAGGGAGAUGGUGAGUGUAGGGAGGUGGUGAGUGUAGGGAGGUGGUGAGUGUAGGGAGGUGGUGAGUGGUGAGUGUAGGGAGGUGGUGAGUGUAGGGAGGUGGUGAGUGGUGAGUGGUGAGUGUAGGGAGCUGGUGAGUGUAGGGAGGUGGUGAGUGUAGGGAGGUGGUGAGUGUAGGGAGAUGGUGAGUGUAGGGAGGUGAUGAGUGUAGGGAGGUGGUGAGUGUAGGAGGUGGUCAAUGUAGGGAGGUGGUGAGUGUAGGGAGGUGGUGAGUGGUGAGUGUAGGGAGGUGGUGAGUGUAGGGAGGUGGUGAGUGUAGGGAGGUGGUGAGUGUAGGGAGGUGGUGAGUGGUGAGUGUAGGGAGGUGGUGAGUGGUGAGUGUAGGGAGGUGGUGAGUGGUGAGUGUAGGGAGGUGGUGAGUGUAGGGAGAUGGUGAGUGUAGGGAGAUGGUGAGUGUAGGGAGGUGGUGAGUGUAGGGAGGUGGUGAGUGUAGGGAGGUGGUGAGUGGUGAGUGUAGAGAGGUGGUGAGUGUAGGGAGGUGGUGAGCAUUUCAAAUGCUCUUGGCUUCGGCUGAUAAGAAAGCGGCAGGACUCUAAACUGACCUGUUUUUACAAGGAGCACCUGUGCGCUUAACAAAGGAAUAUAGAAAAAAUAUUUGCGGUAACAAG
Molecule: long non-coding RNA, 850 nt
Organism: Oncorhynchus tshawytscha (Chinook salmon)
Lineage: Eukaryota; Metazoa; Chordata; Actinopteri; Salmoniformes; Salmonidae
Source: Ensembl